AACCCUUGCCUUAGUUGCCAGCAGUUCGGCUGGGCACUCUAAGGAGACUGCCGGUGACAAACCGGAGGAAGGUGGGGAUGACGUCAAGUCCUCAUGGCCUUUAUGACCAGGGCUACACACGUACUACAAUGGCCGAUACAAAGGGCAGCGACACUGCGAGGUGAAGCCAAUCCCGUAAAAUCGGUCUCAGUCCGGAUUGGAGUCUGCAACUCGACUCCAUGAAGUUGGAAUCGCUAGUAAUCGUGGAUCAGCAUGCCACGGUGAAUACGUUCCCGGGCCUU
RNAcentral lists this ribosomal RNA (281 nucleotides) under uncultured Desulfobulbus sp. Its description in RNAcentral is "partial 16S ribosomal RNA". It matches the Rfam family "Bacterial small subunit ribosomal RNA", at positions 1101 to 1382 of the family's 1533-position model. Lineage: Bacteria; Pseudomonadati; Thermodesulfobacteriota; Desulfobulbia; Desulfobulbales; Desulfobulbaceae. The record is from RNAcentral.